This 253-nucleotide ribosomal RNA is filed under the name uncultured bacterium. Its description in RNAcentral is "partial 16S ribosomal RNA". It matches the Rfam family "Bacterial small subunit ribosomal RNA", at positions 524 to 776 of the family's 1533-position model. The record is from RNAcentral.
UACGGAGGGGGCUAGCGUUGUUCGGAAUUACUGGGCGUAAAGCGCACGUAGGCGGCUUUGUAAGUUAGAGGUGAAAGCCCGGGGCUCAACUCCGGAAUUGCCUUUAAGACUGCAUCGCUAGAAUUGUGGAGAGGUAAGUGGAAUUCCGAGUGUAGAGGUGAAAUUCGUAGAUAUUCGGAGGAACACCAGCGGCGAAGGCGGUGCUCUGGGCCGGAACUGACACUGAGGAGCGAAAGCGUGGGUAGCAAACAGG